GGGCGUUAAGUUGCAGGGUAUAGACCCGAAACCCGGUGAUCUAGCCAUGGGCAGGUUGAAGGUUGGGUAACACUAACUGGAGGACCGAACCGACUAAUGUUGAAAAAUUAGCGGAUGACCUGUGGCUGGGGGUGAAAGGCCAAUCAAACCGGGAGAUAGCUGGUUCUCCCCGAAAGCUAUUUAGGUAGCGCCUCGUGAAUUCAUCUCCGGGGGUAGAGCACUGUUUCGGCUAGGGGGCCAUCCCGGCUUACCAACCCGAUGCAAACUGCGAAUACCGGAGAAUGUUAUCACGGGAGACACACGGCGGGUGCUAACGUCCGUCGUGAAGAGGGAAACAACCCAGACCGCCAGCUAAGGUCCCAAAGUCAUGGUUAAGUGGGAAACGAUGUGGGAAGGCCCAGACAGCCAGGAUGUUGGCUUAGAAGCAGCCAUCAUUUAAAGAAAGCGUAAUAGCUCACUGGUCGAGUCGGCCUGCGCGGAAGAUGUAACGGGGCUAAACCAUGCACCGAAGCUGCGGCAGCGAACGUAUCACUUAAAGCGAUUCAGCGGGUUACGAUUGACGGAGCGAAGCGACGUCAAAGCGUAUACAAAGUCGAGUCGGUUUAAGGAUACGUUCGUUGGGUAGGGGAGCGUUCUGUAAGCCUGUGAAGGUGUGUCGUGAGGCAUGCUGGAGGUAUCAGAAGUGCGAAUGCUGACAUAAGUAACGAUAAAGCGGGUGAAAAGCCCGCUCGCCGGAAGACCAAGGGUUCCUGUCCAACGUUAAUCGGGGCAGGGUGAGUCGACCCCUAAGGCGAGGCCGAAAGGCGUAGUCGAUGGGAAACGGGUUAAUAUUCCCGUACUUGGUGUUACUGCGAAGGGGGGACGGAGAAGGCUAUGUUGGCCGGGCGACGGUUGUCCCGGUUUAAGCGUGUAGGUGUGUGUUCCAGGUAAAUCCGGUUCACUUUAACACUGAGGCGUGAUGACGAGGCACUACGGUGCUGAAGCAACAAAUGCCCUGCUUCCAGGAAAAGCCUCUAAGCAUCAGGUAACAUCAAAUCGUACCCCAAACCGACACAGGUGGUCAGGUAGAGAAUACCAAGGCGCUUGAGAGAACUCGGGUGAAGGAACUAGGCAAAAUGGUGCCGUAACUUCGGGAGAAGGCACGCUGACAUGUAGGUGAAGUGAUUUACUCAUGGAGCUGAAGUCAGUCGAAGAUACCAGCUGGCUGCAACUGUUUAUUAAAAACACAGCACUGUGCAAACACGAAAGUGGACGUAUACGGUGUGACGCCUGCCCGGUGCCGGAAGGUUAAUUGAUGGGGUCAGCGCAAGCGAAGCUCCUGAUCGAAGCCCCGGUAAACGGCGGCCGUAACUAUAACGGUCCUAAGGUAGCGAAAUUCCUUGUCGGGUAAGUUCCGACCUGCACGAAUGGCGUAAUGAUGGCCAGGCUGUCUCCACCCGAGACUCAGUGAAAUUGAACUCGCUGUGAAGAUGCAGUGUACCCGCGGCAAGACGGAAAGACCCCGUGAACCUUUACUAUAGCUUGACACUGAACAUUGAGCCUUGAUGUGUAG
RNAcentral lists this ribosomal RNA (1552 nucleotides) under Salmonella enterica subsp. enterica serovar Derby. Its description in RNAcentral is "partial 23S ribosomal RNA". It matches the Rfam family "Bacterial large subunit ribosomal RNA", at positions 690 to 2141 of the family's 2925-position model. The record is from RNAcentral. Lineage: Bacteria; Pseudomonadati; Pseudomonadota; Gammaproteobacteria; Enterobacterales; Enterobacteriaceae.